UCUUGUUCAUGUUGUUUCAAACACAGGAUUGUUUUUUCUGGUAACUUCAAUCAAAAAUGUUUGUAACAAAUAACCACUUAUAGAAUCAUGUUUUAUUUCCCCUUUUUAACAAUAUUUUAUAUUUUAUUGUUAGGUUUGCCAAGCACUGUUGCUUUUUCAUAUUUAUGUAUUCGUCCACAACAAGAAUCUGUGAUGCAUUUCUAUUUCAACAUAAA
This 215-nucleotide long non-coding RNA is filed under the name Mytilus galloprovincialis (Mediterranean mussel). Lineage: Eukaryota; Metazoa; Mollusca; Bivalvia; Mytilida; Mytilidae. The record is from RNAcentral.